This 370-nucleotide unclassified non-coding RNA is filed under the name uncultured Agaricomycetes. Its description in RNAcentral is "sequence contains ITS1". The stretch from base 1 to 106 matches the Rfam family "5.8S ribosomal RNA", at positions 49 to 154 of the family's 154-position model. Lineage: Eukaryota; Fungi; Basidiomycota; Agaricomycetes. The record is from RNAcentral.
GAAAGCGCGAAACGUAAUGUGAAUUGCAGAAUUCAGUGAAUCAUCGAAUCUUUGAACGCACCUUGCGCUCCUUGGUAUUCCGAGGAGCAUGCCCGUUUGAGUGUCGUGAAGUCUAUCGAAAAAAAACCCCCCCUUGGGAGGGCUUUUCGGAUUUGGACGCCUUGCCGCCCUUUCGGGGCGCGGCUCGUCCCUAAACGCAUUAGCGAAGAGCGCCCCGUUCUCCGUCUCCGCUCUCAAGGACGUGAUAAGCCCUUUGCGUCGCUUUGAAAAUGGAAAGGAGGAGGCGAGGCCCCCCCGUUCGCUUCGAACCCCUGUCAUAUCGUUUUAUUUCUCUGACCUCAAAUCGGGCAGGACUACCCGCUGAACUUAA